Molecule: long non-coding RNA, 5046 nt
Filed under: Sus scrofa (pig)
Lineage: Eukaryota; Metazoa; Chordata; Mammalia; Artiodactyla; Suidae
Description: lncRNA (ENSSSCG00065074230.1)
Source: RNAcentral
GGUCAAGGCCAGUAAGUGAAGCAUCCUUAAACCUCCCUCUUUCUGUCUCUGUCCUCACAUCCCUGCAAUUUGCGACCAAGCAUAACCACCUCUCCUUUGUUUUUUCCUCUACAGGACUCUCCUGUCUCCUCUCAUAAGGACCCUUGUAAUGAUGUUGAAUCUACCUUUGUAACCCAGCAUUAUCUCCCCAUCUCAAGACCCCUCACUUAAUCCCAUCAGCAAAGUCCACAUAACACGACAUAACCAUAAAUUCUAAGCCUUAGGACAUUGACAGCCUGCCCCCCACCCCCCUCACGUUGCCUGAGGGAUACUGCUCCUCUGUUGGAGGAAAUGACAAUGAUACUGGGGAUGGGUUUUCUUUUCCAACUUAGAAAAAAAAUUAAUACUGGAGGUCCCGUCGCGGCUCAGUGGUUAAGGAAUCCAACUAGGAACCAUGAGGUUGCGGGUUGGAUCCCUGGCUUUGCUCAGUGGGUUAAGGAUCCCGUGUUGCCAUGAGCUGUGGUGUCGGUCGCAGACGCGGCUUGGAUCCCAUGUUGCUGUGACUGGUGUAGGCCAGCAGCUAAAGUUCUGAUAAGACCCCUAGCCUGGGAACCUCCACAUGCCAUGGGUGUGGCCCUAAAAAGACAAAAGACAAAAAAAAAAAAUUAAUGACCAUUCAAAACAGGCUCACGUGUCAUCCUCCUCGGAAACAGAUGCCCUGUUGUGCACAAUAAACAAAUAAUUAAUUCUACUAGAAGAUUGGAUUUCUUGAGAGGUUUUGUUAGGGGAAAAAAAAGCCCAGAGAGAAAAAUCAAGUUGUCCUCACUUAGGCAAAUUUUUUUCUUUUUCUGAGAUCUUGUUUAUCUCAGGUCAACGCUAACGAAAUCGGGAUUUUUAAAAAUAGUUUCUUCCUAUAAACAGAGCCCAUGACGAUGGAGUGAAAAUGGGCUGUUGACUGGUGUGUCCAGACCUAUGCCCUCAAAGAUAUACUUAGCUUUCUCUGCAAACACAGAUAUUCGAAUGCACGUGUCAUUCGACGGAAGAGUUCUCUGGUGUGCUAAGUGCUGUGUUAGAGGAACACACCCGUGGAUGAGACAGUGCCCCUGAGUUGUGCAUGCCAGCGGGGUAGACAAAUAAACAACGUGCAGAUAAAUAUGUUUAACUCCCAUUUGCAUAUUACUUAGCGCUUUGGGAUAUAAAGUUCCUAAAAGGGAGGACGAGAAGGAAGGUGCGAAGUGCUGGAUAGAAUGUUAAUUUACCAGGAACAGUGUCACCUGCAUUGCUGCUGCAGGAUGACAACACAGGUGAGGGGGUGGGACCCGGUUCAGCAUCCAGGCACAGAUACAUCUUGUUCACAAGUCCCUGGGAACUGAGAUCUGUUGGGACGUUGUGGAUGGGCGGUCAGCACCCCGGCACGUCUAGGGACCGGGCGGCGGAGUUUGGGUGAUAGUCUCGCGAUAACUCCGUUCCCAGCAUCUCUGCAUCACCCGCUCCUGGCUUCCGCUGAACAGGCUGCCCUAGUUUUUUAUACUGAAAUCUAAUCCUGGCCGCUUACUGCAAUUUGCGACCAAGCAUAACCACCUCUCCUUUGUUUUUUCCUCUACAGAAACUAGAUUCUUAUGUGGCAGGCUCUCUCAGAAGGAAGCUCAAUUUUUCUUGACUGGGAAUAAAAGUUAUGCGAUUAUAUUUAUGAAGCCUGUCUUCAGCUUAUAUUAAAGGAGUAAAGAUCAAAUACUUUACACAGGAAAAGAGGCCAUGAUGUUCUCAGCAUUGGUUCAUAUUUUAAAGAAUUCAUGGCUUUUGGAUCUCAUUGGAUUUGAACGAGAAAAACAAUUUGAGUUAAUGGAAAUUACAUAGACCCACACAGAGUGAAUGAAAGCUCGGGCACACUCCUAAUUUUCUAUCCCCAUCUCUCUGUUCUAGUUUAUCACACUAAUUUCUCCCCUCAACAUACCGCUCUGUGACUGCGUUGUCCACCUUAAAAAUUGUUACAUUUGAUGUGUAAAAAGAAAUACUUCAAAAGUGACUGGGCUGAACCCCCCAUGAGCUCAAAGCACUUGUUCUGCCCUCCUGACGUUACUGAGGGUUUGUCUAUGUGUUUUUUAGAAGCUGGUUCUCAAUAGAAGAGUUUGGGCACCGAAACAACCAUUGAGGCUUGGGGCACAAUGGCAUCAGCUUAGACACCAGUUAGUGGCAGUUCUCAGUGCUGGAUGCACAUCGGAAGCACCUGGGAGAUUUUUAAAAGUGCAGCUGCCCCAGCCCAAAGGAACCGAUCCAAGUCCCCAGGGUGAAGCUGAGCAACUGCAGGUUUUGAAAAUUCUCCCAGUGCUUCUGCUGCCCAGGGAGGGCUGGGGACAACUGGAAGAGAGGGUGCAAUUUUUCAGCCACAUAAUGACAAUCUAUAGUCCUCAGUCACUUGCAAAAUCCAAACAAGCUAGUACUCCUGGAGAAUCUUGGGUAAAAAGGAAGAAGCAUUGGAACAAUAACAAGAAAGUGAAAAAAAUACUUUACAUUCUGCUGCCUGCUUUCCUUUUUUUCUUCUUAGGGCCACACCUGCAGCGUAUGGAAUUUCCCAGGUUAGGGGUCAGAACUGGAGCUGCAGGUGCCAGCCUACACCACAGUCAGGGCAACACCCCAGAUCCAACUGCAUCUGUGAAUUAUGCCGUCACUUGAGGCACCAACGGAUUCUUAACCCACUGGGCAAGGCCAGGAAUCAAACCUGCAUCCUCAGGGAUACUAGUUUGGUUCUUAACCCGCUGAGCCACAACGGGAACUCUGUUGCCUACUUUCCUUUUGAAUCAAAUUUAUUUGAGGGACAGAGAUACCAAAUUUGCCAGGAAGAUGGAAGUACUGAUUUCCAUGAGAUUUUAUGAACUGACAGCAUUAUCCAUCUACUUAGGAAGUUCACCCUGGCUGUCCUGGUCUUUGUGCAGAAACAAGACGUGGCUCUUUGUCACCAGUGCUUGCUGAGCCUCAGUCCCUUCAUCUCUCCUCCCACUGCCAGGGGCAACUGGCCAGGCUGCUUGGCGUCACUGCGAGGCUGUGCGCUGGCUUUGUGGCUACAGAUGGCACAGAUGAUGGAGACGUGGCACCGACCUGUUCCCUGGAUGCCGAGAGGCAAAGAAUUCAGCUCUGGACUGCAGAAGUCCAACGUCAACCAAGAGAAGCACCGAUGUAAAGAGACGGGGAGCACAGGCGGAGGAGUCACAAGGCACACGUGAGGUUCUUCAGGUCACUGCUGGGCCGAGUCAGGAGGGGCCGGGUCUCACUGGCGGGGCCACAGCCUGGGGAUCUGAUGGACCCCUCCAGCUUUCUCUUCCUCCCCUAGGAACAAGGACACAGGUUUCACGGUUCACGUAGAGCUACGUGAUCAGCCUGGUGAAAGUGCCAAGAGGGUUUAGAAUGCUUCUUAUGUAUUGUCCCUCACUCUCCAAAUGUAAGUUUUUACAGCUUUCUGUAAAUGGGAUUGGAACAUUGUCAAUGCUCAGUGAUCUGAGGACACAGCAUCAAUUGAUAAUGAUAAAAGAAAAAAAUCAAUCAGGACCCUUAUAAAACCCUGGGGAAAUCAACCCAAGUGGAAAACUAUACAUUUUGUGCAGAGGCUUAAAAGAAGGGAAAAUUAUGGCUUUAUUGGAUCUUCCCUACAUUCUGCAAGCAUCGAACAGGCCUGUGUAAUUUAUUUUGUGAGGCUACCGGGUAAGCCUGUGUGAGACGCAGUGAGGGCUCACCAUGAAGUGGGUCAUUAAUUCUCCUUCUGUUUUGCUGCAUGGACACAAAUGAUAAUGAUUAACCCAGUUAUGGGGAGAAAUGACCAAGGCAACCUGAGGCCUUGGGAUGGGGAGACGCUGCAAUUGCAUGUGGACCAUGUGAUGUUUCUUCCUCUUUUCUAAAGGUAACCUUGUCCCCUUCCUUUAUCUAAGUCCUGGGCUGCCUUGUGCGGUCCAUCACGGUAAUUAUUUGUCCUACUCCAAGCACUUUUUGGGGGAUUUGUGCAGAUGGGUGUUUUUUGUUUGGUGUGUUGUUAGUUUUGUUUGUUUGUUUGUUUGUUUGUUUGUUUGUUUUUUAGGGAAGGCUGAGUUUAGGAUUGACUGAGAAGGGGCAGGUGAGAAGGAGUGGCACAUACAAGGAGAGUUAGAUGGGGUCUCUGAGACAAAGCCAAACUGAGACAGAAAGCACUUUGGAUCCAGCCUCCCUGGUCCUAUCUCCAAGCCUGGGCAGUGGGUCUAUGCAUGUGAGUCAACCCAGUUGGCUGAGUUACUGGAGAGAGAGAUGAGGCUGGGCCAUAGGAUGUGGCAUUGGAGGCCCCUGAGCUGCAGUUCUGUAGAACAAAGCAGGGGCACACCUGUCCUGCCAGGUAUUCCUGAUCCUGUCCAGGGGCAGGAGUGUCUGAGGGACCAGAUGUGGAAGAAAGGAGGCCCUGCUUCAGUUUUAUGAGGUAUAAGUCCAGCUUGCUGCAAACACCUGGCAAAGAACAAAGGAGAGGGGGCUGGUGGCCACGGAGCUGGGGGUUUAAGAACCACACAGCAGGCCAAUGACCAUAGCAACAGCUGAGGGCUGGAUUGGCCAGAGCAAUCCAGCACAGCUUUCAUGACUUUCUUUCUUUCUGGUGAACUUGACUGGUGCCUGGAUGGUGAAUGAGCUCUUGGAUUCUUUGACCCAUAAGGGAGGCGGUGGGAUUCUUAGAAAAGGAAAAAAAAUGUUCUUACAGAAUAAGAAGAAGGCUAGAACCACUUGAUUUUAAGAAUAAAGGUUCAGGGAAUUGCCCUUGUGAAUCAGGAGAUUAAGAAUCUGACUAAUGGAGUUCCCGUCGUGGCUCAGUGGUUAACGAAUCCGACUGGGAACCAGGAGGUUGCAGGUUCGAUCCCUGGCUAUGCUCAGUGGGUUAAGGAUCCGGUGUUGCUGUGAGCUGUGGUGUGGGUUGCGGGUGCAGCUUGGAUCUGGCAUGGUUGUGGCGGUGGCAUAGGCUGGUGGCUACAGCUCCGAUUGGACCCCUAGCCUAGAAACCUCCAUAUGCCAUGGGUGCGGGCCUAGAAAAGACAAAAAAAAAAAAAAAAAAAAAAAAAAAAG